AUAUUAUUCUUAUUUUUCUCUCAUUAUGAAUAAACGAAGCAAUAAUAGUGAUGAAGAUAUUCGUCAGAUUUUAGACGAAUCAAACAGCGAUUACUCUGAUUUAUCUGAAUCAGAUUCAUUUGAAGAAUCGAUCGGUUCAGGUGAUGAUCCGACUUACACUUUAGACAAAGAUGAUUCUUCUGAUGAUGGAUUAAACUUUACUAGUAGUGAUGAUUAUUAGGAAGAAUACAAUGCAAACAUAUGUGAUAAUUUGUCCACUGUAUACGAAGAGGUAGACAGUGAGUGAUUGGGAAGACGAUAUAAAUGAAAUAGAAGAUUUCAAUUAUGAUGAACAAAGUGCUGGUGUACAAUUAGAUAUUUUUGAUGAAGCUACCCCAUAUGAUGUUUUUAUGAAGAUUUGGAAUGAAGAGGUAAUGCAACUUAUUUUAAAUUCAUCAAACAAAUAUGGAAAAAAACAACUUAAUUUAAAUCGCCCUCAUACUAAAAAUGGUCGUGUACAAAAUUAUAAAGAAAUUUCCACGAUUGAGUUGCAAAAAUUUUUUGGUUUGUGUUUGUUGAGAGUGGAACUUGGUAUACCUGUACUUAGGCAAUGUUUUGGAACGGAUCCAUUGAGCUAUCACCCCAUAUUUUCAUUUACAAUGAGUGGAAGAAGGUUUGAACAAUUUUUAAGAGUUUUACAUUGUUCUGAAGGUAUUCCAGUUGAAAUAAAUGAUAGUUUAGUAAAAAUAUCUCCACUUUUCAAUAUGCUUAUAUGAAAAUUUCAGUCCUCCUACUCUCCGCCAGUAAAUUUGUCACUUGAUGAGUCAAUGAUGCUCUGGAGAGGCCGCUCAAUAUUUCUUCAGUAUAUAAAAAACAAAAAACAUAAGUACGUAAUAAAAUUUUAUGAACUUUAUACCACCAAUGGAUACGUAAUUUCAGCAAAAAUAUAUAAAGGGAAAAAUAUCGAAGAUACUUCAUCAUCAAAAGUAAAUGAUUUAGUUAUGAGACCAUAUUUAAAUAAAGGCCACCAUCUUUUUAUGGACAAUUUUUAUAAUAGUAUUGGUUUGUCGAAAAUAUUACUUGAAAAUAAAACUCAUACAACCGGUACUUUAAGAUCAAAUAGAAAAUUAAAUCCUACUCAAAUCACAGGUAAAGAUGUUAAACUUUAGGAGACUAAAGAAAGGAGGCCACAAGUUUUCUAGAAAGGGAUCGAUUUAUGUCAGUAGAUGGAAAGACAAAAGGGAUGUUUUUAGCAUUACUACUAGAUACCAUCCUUUGAUGACCACUGUGCAAAAUAAACGUUGGAUAAAUAUUCAAAAACCAAAACAAAUAAUCGAGUACAACUCAAAUAUGUCUGGUAUAGAUCGUUGUGACCAAAUGCUGUCAUAUUAUUCAAGUCCUAGAAUAACCAUCAAGUGGUACAAGAAAGUACUAUUUCAUCUUCUUGAUGUCUUCGUGGAAUUCAUUCUACAUUUACAAAAAAAAAAUUCCUCAGUAUACAGGACAUUUUAUUGAUUUUCAUCGUGAAGUUGUCAGAAAACUUAUUCACUUACCACUCACAUAACAAAUGGACGUCAACAAGAAUAAAGGAAAAAGCAGAAAUAAUUUGAAAAUUCAAGGUCACUCUCAAGAGAAGAUACCAUUACCAAAGAGUAAGAUAAAUAUUUUUUUUUUAUUUUACUCAAGGCUGAUCAAGGAAAACAUACUUUUUGAGUUGUCGGGAGUCUUACAAGAAAAAAAUUAGAAAAAUUACGUCUUAGAGGUGCAAAGAUUGUUCAUCAAAUCUACCAUUGUGCCCAGGAUGCCCAGGACCCUGAUUUUCAAAUUAUCAUGUAAAUAAAUAAUUUUAACUAUUUAAAAAUUGUAUGUAUCAAAUGCAUUUUUUUUUGUGUUAUAAUAAAAAAGAUAUUUUAUAAUAAUUAUCAUGUUGAUAUAAAUAUAUCAAUAUAGUAUAAAUAAAUAAAAAGGAUUUGUCUGAAA
Long non-coding RNA from Daktulosphaira vitifoliae (grape phylloxera), 1959 nucleotides. RefSeq lists it as uncharacterized. The record is from RefSeq and is a predicted model, not a curated record. The transcript has 2 exons. NCBI's taxonomy places the organism in Eukaryota, Metazoa, Arthropoda, Insecta, Hemiptera, Phylloxeridae.